UACCCCGUUUGGCAAACUUAUCGAAAGGUAAGGGCGCAAAACCACAGGUCUAAAACAUUGAAAAAUGUUAUGACGGCUGGGCUGCUAUG
This 89-nucleotide non-coding RNA is filed under the name Gracilibacillus kekensis. RNAcentral describes it as "c-di-GMP sequence". It matches the Rfam family "c-di-GMP-I riboswitch aptamer". Rfam says of the family: GEMM was predicted in a large-scale screen for bacterial structured RNA regulatory elements. Genes associated with GEMM are involved in a diverse array of functions, including chemotaxis regulation, signal transduction, secretion and chitin. The record is from Rfam by way of RNAcentral. Lineage: Bacteria; Bacillati; Bacillota; Bacilli; Caryophanales; Bacillaceae.